This 466-nucleotide ribosomal RNA is filed under the name uncultured bacterium. RNAcentral describes it as "partial 16S ribosomal RNA". It matches the Rfam family "Bacterial small subunit ribosomal RNA", at positions 339 to 795 of the family's 1533-position model. The record is from RNAcentral.
CUACGGGCUGCUCCAGUGAGGAAUUUUGCGCAAUGGGGGAAACCCUGACGCAGCAACGCCGCGUGAGUGAUGAAGGCCUUCGGGUCGUAAAGCUCUGUCAAGUGGGAAGAAGGUGCCCAUGGCUAAUAUCUGUGGGCAUUGACGGUACCACUGAAGGAAGCACCGGCUAGACUCCGUGCCAGCAGCCGCGGUAAUACGGAGGGUGCAAGCGUUAUUCGGAUUUACUGGGCGUAAAGCGCGCGCAGGCGGUUUUGUAAGUCGGAUGUGAAAGCCCUGGGCUUAACCCAGGAAGUGCAUUCGAUACUGCAUUACUUGAGUAUGGGAGAGGGAAGCGGAAUUCCUGGUGUAGAGGUGAAAUUCGUAGAUAUCAGGAGGAACAUCGGUGGCGAAGGCGGCUUCCUGGACCAAUACUGACGCUGAGGCGCGAAGGCGUGGGGAGCAAACAGGAUUAGAUACCCGAGUAGUC